GGGGAUGUAGCUCAGCUGGAAGAGCGCCUGCUUUGCAAGCAGGAUGUCAGGGGUUCGAGUCCCCUCAUCUCCACCA
Molecule: transfer RNA, 76 nt
Filed under: Candidatus Omnitrophota bacterium
Lineage: Bacteria; Pseudomonadati; Candidatus Omnitrophota
Description: Candidatus Omnitrophica bacterium tRNA-Ala
Rfam family: tRNA
About the family: Transfer RNA (tRNA) molecules are approximately 80 nucleotides in length. Their secondary structure includes four short double-helical elements and three loops (D, anti-codon, and T loops).
Source: RNAcentral